AGUUCGGGCCGCACGCGCGCUACACUGACAGAGCCAACGAGUUCUUCACCUUGGCCGAAAGGUCUGGGUAAUCUUGUUAAACUCUGUCGUGCUGGGGAUAGAGCAUUGCAAUUAUUGCUCUUCAACGAGGAAUGCCUAGUAAGCGCGUGUCAUCAGCAUGCGUUGAUUACGUCCCUGCCCUUUGUACACACCGCCCGUCGCUACUACCGAUUGAAUGGCUCAGUGAGGCCUUCGGACUGGCUUGGGGAGGUUGGCAACGACCACCCUAAGCCGGAAAGUUCGUCAAACUCGGUCAUUUAGAGGAAGUAAAAGUCGUAACAAGGUUUCCGUAGGUGAACCUGCGGAAGGAUCAUUACAUUCAGUAGCCUAGCUACUUGUUUUUACACCCUUGUUUUUUGCGUACCUAUUGUUUCCUCGGCGGGCUUGCUCGCCGGUUGGACAAAACUUAUAACCUUUUUUAAAUCUUCAAUCAGCGUCUGAAUUAUACAUAAUAAUUACAACUUUCAACAACGGAUCUCUUGGUUCUGGCAUCGAUGAAGAACGCAGCGAAAUGCGAUAAGUAGUGUGAAUUGCAGAAUUCAGUGAAUCAUCGAAUCUUUGAACGCACAUUGCGCCCCUUGGUAUUCCAUGGGGCAUGCCUGUUCGAGCGUCAUUUGUACCUUCAAGCUCUGCUUGGUGUUGGGCGUAUUGUCAAAUCCUCAGCGGUUAGACUCGCCUUAAAAGUAAUUGGCAGCCAGUGUUUUUGGUAAGUAAGCGCAGCACAUUUUGGCGUCUUAAUCCGUCCAACGGGGGGCAUUCCACAAAAGCCCUCCUUUCUCCCCUUUUUGGACCCCCGGAAUCAGGGGAAGGGGGAUACCCCCGCCUGGAAACUUUUAAGGCCAUUUUUCAAAUUAAACCGGGGGGGGAAAAAAAAAAAACCCCACCCGGGGGAAUUGGCCCCUAAAUAAACCGGCCAAAUGAAAACGGGCAAACAGCUUCAAAAUUUUGAAAAUCGGGGCUCUUUUCGGGGGCCCAAGUUUUAAUUUUCAAAAGGGGGCUUUUGGCUUUGGCACCGGCCCCAAUUUUUUUGGGAAAGGGCCUCCCAAAG
Molecule: ribosomal RNA, 1087 nt
Filed under: Pleosporales sp. LM332
Lineage: Eukaryota; Fungi; Ascomycota; Dothideomycetes; Pleosporales
Description: bacterial SSU rRNA
Rfam family: Eukaryotic small subunit ribosomal RNA (bases 1-355)
Source: RNAcentral